RNAcentral lists this unclassified non-coding RNA (668 nucleotides) under Acromyrmex echinatior (Panamanian leafcutter ant). RNAcentral's name for it is "isoaspartyl peptidase/L-asparaginase, transcript variant X1". Lineage: Eukaryota; Metazoa; Arthropoda; Insecta; Hymenoptera; Formicidae. The record is from RNAcentral.
AUGGAUGCCGCGAUAAUGACGAAUGAUCUUCGCGUAGGUUGUGUGGGUGCCGUUCGUAAUAUAGCACAUCCUAUAACAUUAGGUCUGUCUUUCUUAGCAAAUCGCUUACAUCAAAGAAAUGAUUAUGUUUAUUUAUCACCUGCUUAAAUUUCAAUGCUUUACACUCUCGUAGCCAAAAUGGUCUUGCAGCAAACGGAACAUGUAUUGAUAGUCGAAGCUGGAGCGCAAAAGUUUAGUAUGGAAUCAGGCAUUCCUACUUUGUCACCUGGCCAAUUGAUCGUUAUGUCCGAUUCGAAGACAUCCUUGCACGAAGAAGGAAAUAACGGUAAAGGAUAGAGAAAAAAACGAACUAUAAUUUUAAAAAUAUUAAUCGCGAUACUGAUGAACAUAAGAAGCACAAGAUACAAGAAAGAGAGCUUUUAGACGAUGGGGACAAACAAUCCAAUAAAAAAGAAUGCAUACCGGAAUGUGUAAUUGAAAGAGACAAGGAGGAAAGUGCUCUCAAAGUCGCUGAGAUAGACAAAUCCUUGGAAAUUGCACCUGAUUUUAUACAGUCUGACAAGCCUAUAAUUUGUGGAAGAGAGAUAAAGAGACAGAAGAAAAAAGUGUCUUUCGUCAAAAUCUAAAUCUUUUUUUCUCUCUUUUUUUUUCUUUAUGGAUCUAAUAUA